CCUACGGGAGGCUGCAGUGAGGAAUCUUGGUCAAUGGGCGCGAGCCUGAACCAGCCAAGUAGCGUGAAGGAUGACUGCCCUACGGGUUGUAAACUUCUUUUAUAAAGGAAUAAAGUGAGGCGCGUGUGCCUUUUUGUAUGUACUUUAUGAAUCCGGAUCGGCUCACUUCGUGCCAGCAGCCGCGGUAAUACGGAGGAUGCGAGCGUUAUCCGGUUUUAUUGGGUUUAAAGGGAGCGUAGAUGGGUUGUUAAGUCAGUUGUGAAAGUUUGCGGCUCAACCGGACAAUUGCAAUUGAUACUGGCAGACUUGAGUACAGAUGAGGUAAGCGGAAUUCGUGGUGUAGCGGUGAAAUGCUUAGAUAUCAGGAAGAACUCCAAUGGCGAAGGCAGCUUACUAAACUGCCACUGACAAUGAGGCUCGAAAGUGUGGGUAUCAAACAGGAUUAGAUACCCGAGUAGUC
This 460-nucleotide ribosomal RNA is filed under the name uncultured bacterium. RNAcentral's name for it is "partial 16S ribosomal RNA". It matches the Rfam family "Bacterial small subunit ribosomal RNA", at positions 338 to 795 of the family's 1533-position model. The record is from RNAcentral.